CUCCUCGUAGUUCAAUGGAUAGAACGAGUGCCUCCUAAGCGCUAAAUACAGGUUCGAUUCCUGUCGAGGGGA
Molecule: transfer RNA, 72 nt
Filed under: Zoogloeaceae bacterium
Lineage: Bacteria; Pseudomonadati; Pseudomonadota; Betaproteobacteria; Rhodocyclales; Zoogloeaceae
Also listed under: 1 other name
Description: tRNA-Arg
Rfam family: tRNA
About the family: Transfer RNA (tRNA) molecules are approximately 80 nucleotides in length. Their secondary structure includes four short double-helical elements and three loops (D, anti-codon, and T loops).
Source: RNAcentral